This 232-nucleotide long non-coding RNA is filed under the name Capsicum annuum. RNAcentral's name for it is "long non-coding RNA (CANN_LNC010015)". The record is from RNAcentral. Lineage: Eukaryota; Viridiplantae; Streptophyta; Magnoliopsida; Solanales; Solanaceae.
UUAGUAGUUGAUUGACUGGAUCAAUGUGGUAUUUACCUUAAGGUAUAACUGUAAAGACCCUCUAAGUUAUUUCCUCAAUUUGUGUGCAUUUUAAGCAUAUUGAGCCUUUCUACACGGACUAUAACUCAUUUAUGAAUUGUUGGAUUAUUCAGUUUGGUGAUCAAAUAUUUUAUUUGGAUUUUAGGCUCAUUUCCCUAUUUUAGAGCUUUUGUUGUUUAGGAUUUGGUCUCGG